UUAAAUUGAAGAGUUUGAUCAUGGCUCAGAUUGAACGCUGGCGGCAGGCCUAACACAUGCAAGUCGAACGGUAACAGGAAGCAGCUUGCUGCUUCGCUGACGAGUGGCGGACGGGUGAGUAAUGUCUGGGAAACUGCCUAAUGGAG
Molecule: ribosomal RNA, 146 nt
Filed under: Salmonella enterica
Lineage: Bacteria; Pseudomonadati; Pseudomonadota; Gammaproteobacteria; Enterobacterales; Enterobacteriaceae
Also listed under: 2 other names
Description: partial 16S ribosomal RNA
Rfam family: Bacterial small subunit ribosomal RNA
Source: RNAcentral